UUAAUGAUUUCUAUUUAACUCAGACGACACAAACAGAAGAUUUUUGCUGUUCUUCAGCAGACUUGAAGGCCUACCAAAGCAACAUGCGAUCGUUGUACACACAGGGUGGGAGGUUGGGCCAUAGGACCCUAACUCGUUAAUGAUCCUUCCGCAGGUUCACCUACGGAAA
Molecule: unclassified non-coding RNA, 169 nt
Filed under: uncultured fungus
Lineage: Eukaryota; Fungi
Description: sequence contains ITS1
Source: RNAcentral